Molecule: long non-coding RNA, 310 nt
Filed under: Dermacentor andersoni
Lineage: Eukaryota; Metazoa; Arthropoda; Arachnida; Ixodida; Ixodidae
Description: uncharacterized LOC126534367
Source: RNAcentral
UCAGGAACACCGGGCGUGAGGUUUACUUUGGUUUUCUGGCAUCCAGUGGAACACUGCGCCGUUUUUACUGUGAUGCACAGAGGCAGCAAACAAUGCGAGAUGCGCGUUUGGGGAGAUCGCGUUGAAUCACCCGUGCCGUAUUGCCAACGUGCAUACACGCAGCAUUGCACCUUACAAUAUAGGCCUUACACAAGCUAUUGCGUGCAAUGACUGAAAAAAUAAACACGCUCUCAUUAAGCGGGUUGCAUUGCUCCUUGCGAAUAAAGACGUACAAUAUCAUGCAGUGAAAUAAAUAUUCUAUCGUACAAAA